Arachis ipaensis is the source of this 2043-nucleotide non-coding RNA. The record is from RefSeq and is a predicted model, not a curated record. Lineage: Eukaryota; Viridiplantae; Streptophyta; Magnoliopsida; Fabales; Fabaceae.
AGAACUGCAACCCUAGCUCAUUAAACGAAACACAUUACGGCGCUCUCGAUCUCCCUUCUCUCUCCUUCGUCUCCUCCGUGCUUCGACAACGCCGUUCUUUCCUCUCGGACUUCUCCUCUCUCCGCCGGUUACGAUUGCUCAGCAUUCGAUUGACGUUGGUGCGGAAGUGAUUGACGCCGAUCGGGUCUUGUGUUCAACCAGUCGACGAUCUCAGAUCUUGGAUCUUGGAUCUUCCUUCCUCACAUCUGCCGUCGACACUACUUGCAAAGCCUGCGAGUUUCUUUCAUCUCUCCACCUGCUCAGUGGUCACAUGGGAGCAAUUUUACAGAGGAAAGGUGAUCUUUGUGGAUCACUUCCUGUUUCUGUCCUUGCUGUUUAUGAUGCAAAGCUUGGUAGCUUGUGUAAAUAUAUUGAUCCUGAGGUGGAGUCAAAUCCUUACUGUACGCAUUCCUAGCUCAGAGGAAAAAUCUGUUGAAGGAGUGACUCUUCAUAUUUCCUCAAAAGAGUACUAUCUUAAUAUAAUUGCAAAUGAACUUGGUCUUGAAGAUGCCUCCAAUGUUUUUAUUUCAAGGUGAAAUGUAAAAUGCCUCCAAAAUCUUAUAUACUAGAUCCAUCUUCUAAAUUGCCAAAUGGAAAAGAUGGCCUUCAUCUUGAUGGACCUUCAAAUUUAAGGGCAAGUUACUUGUCUGGUCAUGAUAUAGCUGGUGAUGCAAUAUUAGCAUCUAUUGGAUAUACGUGGAAAUGUAGAGAUCUUUUCUAUGAAGAUGUAAUAGUUUAGUCAUAUUACAGGUCUCUUUAAAUUCACAUCAUUUAGUGAAUUGUUUAACUGAAGUGCCUGAAGUAAUUUUUUUCCCCUUCUUCUUCUCCUCCAACCCCCCUUAUUCACAUAAUGCAAUGGAUCUUUAUCUUGUAUAAGUUACUUAGUUUCUUUGGUUGUGGAGGGUGAGAAUAUUAAAAAAGUUAUUGAACUAACUUAGUCAAAUUUAUUUCAUAUUCUAAGCACGAUUUGAACUGUCCAUAUUUUCUUUGAUUCAAUUUUUAAUUAUCAUAGAUUCAUAUAAAAGCAUGCAAGAAAAUAUCCUGGCUUCUUGCUAUUCAGUGACAUCCGCAUUUAUAGCUCUUUUCUUUUACAUGGAGGAUCCCGUAAUAUUCAUUUAGAGACUUUUUAUGAACUUUAUUUUCUGCUUGUGCUAUUGUGCAAGCUAAAACUGUUAUUUUGUGUGCUUUAAUUUUCAUCAUACCAUUUUGGACUCUGUUGUGUAUCCUUGUUGCUAAUGGAUGUUUCUAUGUGAUUUCAGAUUUUAAAAAAUAAUAGUGAUGGAUCUGAGAAUGGGUCCUUGCUACAAAUUAUGAAUCGCACCCUUACUAUAUUUGGUUCCAGGCUUCUUAGGCAUUGGGUACAAGGUAUCUCACCCAUUAUGCAAUCAGACCAUGAUUUCUGCUCGUCUUCAUGCUGUAUCUGAAAUUGCAGAGUCCAUGAAACAAUAUCGAAAUAUUCAUUUUACAUGAUUUGCUUUCGUUCUCAUUUAAAUUUGCUUUUUUAUUUAAACUUAAAUUGAUCAUGUGGCUGUUUACUUAUGAUAUGAUUAAGGUUAGUUCAGGAAAUGGAUAUUAGUAGAAGCUUGUGUGAUACGGACUAUAAAUUUAGUUAUUUUUUAUUCUUAUGCAGGUUUGCUUACAUGAUGUGUACAUGAAAACAUAUUUCUAUUCCCAUUUUUCAGUAUUAGGUUUCAGUUUGCUCGACCUGUGGAGGUGAUGGUGAGCAACCUUUGAUUAUAGAAUAACGAAGAAGAGUUUUUGUGGGGUAAAUAUGAUUUGCGAUGGUGUUACUGUGGCAUAUACCAAGAGGAGCAUUUUAUGAAUAUGUUGAAGGAUGAUGUCAGUAUUGUGAAGGAGAUGGAGCAAUGACUGCAGGGCAAGCUUAUUGCUGAAGAGCAUCACAAAGCAGAUUGGAAGACAAACCCAUGAAGUUGCAGCAAAAGUAGAUGAGUAUGCAAGAGGCAUGAUCAGUGCUUCCGGAUCAACCUUUUUUGAGGAGCUUGG